CCUACGGGUGGCAGCAGUGAGGAAUAUUGGUCAAUGGACGCAAGUCUGAACCAGCCAUGCCGCGUGAAGGAUGACGGCUCUAUGAGUUGUAAACUGCUUUUGUACGAGAGUAAAGUGCAAUAUGUAUACCGGGUUGAAAGUAUCUUAUGAAUAAGGAUCGGCUAACUCCGUGCCAGCAGCCGCGGUAAUACGGAGGAUCCGAGCGUUAUCCGGAUUUAUUGGGUUUAAAGGGAGCGUAGGCGGUUUGAUAAGUCAGUGGUGAAAGGUCGCGGCUCAACCCCAAAAUUGCCUCUAAUACUGGUAGCCUAGAGAAUAGUUGAGGUAGGUGGAAUUCAUGGUGUAGCGGUGAAAUGCUUAGAGAUCAUGAAGAACACCGAUUGCGAAGGCAGCUUGCUAAACUAUAUCUGACGUUGAGGCACGAAAGCGUGGGUAGCAAACAGGAUUAGAUACCCGGGUAGUC
This 460-nucleotide ribosomal RNA is filed under the name uncultured bacterium. Its description in RNAcentral is "partial 16S ribosomal RNA". It matches the Rfam family "Bacterial small subunit ribosomal RNA", at positions 338 to 795 of the family's 1533-position model. The record is from RNAcentral.